UGUCUCUGUCGCGAUCGUCUUCGACGACGAGAAGAAGCGGCGACAGAUCUCGCAGGCGCGCGGACAGCCGCUCGACAGGCGGUGGCGACGGUUUUGUGCGUCUCGCGUCUUCGCUCUUUAACAGCUCUUUUUGAGAGAGACUCGCGGGUGAGGCGUGAAGCCGUAGGAAAGCGGGGGAAAACCACUCGUUAACGAGCUAACGAGUAUAAUACGUACGAGAGCGCAUGAAGCCAAUGAGCCGAAAUCGGAUGGAGACACGAGAAAACCCAAAGAAGAUGACUUAACCCGGAGAAACAUGACGAAUGGGCUUCCUCGUAACGGAAAUGGAAUGUCCAAAUGACAGUAGAGAUGACAUUACAAUACACCAUGCGAGGCGAAGAUGAUUAAAUGGCGUUCAAGGACGCUCGUAUAGACGAAUAGACGUAAUUAUUCACCGUUCUCUCAUUGUUCGCGUAUUAUCGAAGACGGUGACUCACCGUUUGCAGAGGGUAAAUCGACCAAUGGUAGUAUCAACAGCACUAACACCGAUA
Long non-coding RNA from Acromyrmex echinatior (Panamanian leafcutter ant), 530 nucleotides. NCBI's taxonomy places the organism in Eukaryota, Metazoa, Arthropoda, Insecta, Hymenoptera, Formicidae. The record is from RefSeq and is a predicted model, not a curated record.